Molecule: long non-coding RNA, 362 nt
Organism: Lingula anatina
Lineage: Eukaryota; Metazoa; Brachiopoda; Lingulata; Lingulida; Lingulidae
Source: RefSeq, a predicted model, not a curated record
GGCAAGCGUGAUCUCUUUGAAAACUUCGAGCAAGAACUCCUCGAUGAGACCGUCGCCCUGGUUCUAGCUGACCGUGGUGUUCUUGACUGGUGGGCGAAUUUGAAGGAUUCUUUGUCUAGACUCCUAGGACGUUUUGGUUCCAAAUUCAGUGACCUUUCAGCUUUUGUGCAGCAGUACGCAGGAGACCUGUGGGGAAAAGUGCGGGGACACUUCGAUAACGUCAAACUUGUUGCACAAGAGUACCUUGAGCACGCUAAGAAUGCUAGCCUGGCCGUCACCGAAGAGGUUGUCGAGUUCUUGAGACCCUACAAGCAGGAUCUUGGAAGCCUCUGGGGCCAAGUCGUGAAUGCCGCCAAUAUCGC